UACGUAGGAGACAAGCGUUGUCCGGAAUUACUGGGUGUAAAGCGCGUGUAGGCGGUAGGCCAAGUCUGCUGUGAAAUCGCCCGGCUCAACUGGGCGCGGUCGGUGGAAACUGGUCAACUGGAGGACGGUAGAGGCGAGUGGAAUUCCCGGUGUAGUGGUGAAAUGCGUAGAGAUCGGGAGGAACACCAGUGGCGAAGGCGACACACUGGCCCGUAACUGACGCUGAGGUGCGAAAGCGUGGGGAGCAAACAGG
RNAcentral lists this ribosomal RNA (253 nucleotides) under uncultured bacterium. Its description in RNAcentral is "partial 16S ribosomal RNA". It matches the Rfam family "Bacterial small subunit ribosomal RNA", at positions 524 to 776 of the family's 1533-position model. The record is from RNAcentral.